This 397-nucleotide ribosomal RNA is filed under the name uncultured bacterium. RNAcentral's name for it is "partial 16S ribosomal RNA". It matches the Rfam family "Bacterial small subunit ribosomal RNA", at positions 523 to 918 of the family's 1533-position model. The record is from RNAcentral.
AUACGUAGGGGGCGAGCGUUGUCCGGAAUUAUUGGGCGUAAAGGGCGCGUAGGCGGCGCGGUAAGUCUGGAGUGAAAGUCCUGCUUUCAAGGUGGGAAUUGCUUUGGAUACUGCCGCGCUUGAGUGCAGGAGAGGUUAUCGGAAUUCCCGGUGUAGCGGUGAAAUGCGUAGAGAUCGGGAGGAACACCAGUGGCGAAGGCGGCUAUCUGGACUGUAACUGACGCUGAGGCGCGAAAGUGUGGGGAGCAAACAGGAUUAGAUACCCUGGUAGUCCACACCGUAAACGAUGGAUACUAGGUGUCGGGGGGAUCGAGCCCCUCGGUGCCGCAGUUAACACAAUAAGUAUUCCACCUGGGGAGUACGGCCGCAAGGUUGAAACUCAAAUGAAUUGACGGGG